Molecule: long non-coding RNA, 256 nt
Filed under: Mytilus galloprovincialis (Mediterranean mussel)
Lineage: Eukaryota; Metazoa; Mollusca; Bivalvia; Mytilida; Mytilidae
Source: RNAcentral
GGGGUAAAAAAGGGGGGUCGAUUUUGCACACACAUUCUUUUAAAAAAUUUUUGUAGGUUUCCUUUUUGAAAUUGAAAGUAAAGUUAAGUUAAGUUACAUUUAAUAUAGGAAAUUAUUUUUCCAACUCCGGCAGUGGGAUUCGAACUCUCAAUCUUAGCGCCUUGGGAUAGAUCAGCGUACCCCUGCGCCACUGGCAUUGUAGUGAAUUUAUUGAAAUUUAAGUACUUAAGUCUACUACUACGGAAGAAAUUAAAAA